Molecule: RNase P RNA, 362 nt
Filed under: Alphaproteobacteria bacterium
Lineage: Bacteria; Pseudomonadati; Pseudomonadota; Alphaproteobacteria
Description: RNase P RNA component class A
Rfam family: Bacterial RNase P class A
About the family: Ribonuclease P (RNase P) is a ubiquitous endoribonuclease, found in archaea, bacteria and eukarya as well as chloroplasts and mitochondria. Its best characterised activity is the generation of mature 5'-ends of tRNAs by cleaving the 5'-leader elements of precursor-tRNAs.
Source: RNAcentral
CCAGAGGGUCGGGCGGCCGCUGGAACCAUGGUUCCAGAGGAAAGUCCGGGCUCCAGCGAGAAACGGUGCCGGGUAACUCCCGGCUGCGGCGACGCAAGGGACAGUGCCACAGAAAACAAACCGCCUCAAUUUAUUGGGGUAAGGGCGAAACGGUGCGGCAAGAGCGCACCGCGCGGCUGGCAACAGCAGCGGCACGGCAAACCCCACCGGGAGCAAGACCGAAUAGGGGUGAAAAAUGGGUAAUUCUCGUCCUUUUCACCCGGGUUGGUCGCUUGAACGCACCGGCAACGGCGCGUCGAGAUGAAUGGUCGCCCCGCGUCGCAAGGCGCGGACAGAACCCGGCUUACAGACCCUCUGGCCCU